UGCUAAUUAGCUGUCAGUCUCUAUAAACAACCAGCAGACUGCAUUUCAGAGAGAUACUCCACCAAAAAUUCCCAAACAAGAAUUAAACGUUUGUGCCGGACUGCAACUUCUACUCUUUGAUUUCAGGCUUUAGACUGAGUAAAUCUGCUUACCUUAAACAUUUCUCAUGUGAUAAAGGUUUUCAUUUUUCUUACCAGUUGACUACAGAGAAGGAGGAUCAUGUCACAGCAGAUCCCCCGGGUCUGUUUCGCAUCCUCCCAAGAAGGCAGCUUCCAUACUUGCAUCUCAGUCAGUGCCCACCCUCUGGCUCCCUUGGACCAGGUAAAGAUGCAGUGCUAAAUCCAGGCCAUGCAAGUCUGUUGUGUUCUCCUAUUGCUGUUGACCUGGCCAUGUCUGAUUAGAUGGUAAGUCAUUCUCUUACCUUGUGUGUCUCUCUAUUACAGCUAAACUCCAGUAGUUAGG
RNAcentral lists this long non-coding RNA (462 nucleotides) under Heterocephalus glaber (naked mole-rat). Its description in RNAcentral is "lncRNA (ENSHGLG00100037945.1)". Lineage: Eukaryota; Metazoa; Chordata; Mammalia; Rodentia; Bathyergidae. The record is from RNAcentral.